RNAcentral lists this ribosomal RNA (292 nucleotides) under uncultured bacterium. Its description in RNAcentral is "partial 16S ribosomal RNA". It matches the Rfam family "Bacterial small subunit ribosomal RNA", at positions 505 to 796 of the family's 1533-position model. The record is from RNAcentral.
GUGUCAGCCGCCGCGGUAAUACGGGGGGGGCAAGCGUUGUUCGGAAUUACUGGGCGUAAAGGGCGUGUAGGUGGCCAACUAAGUCCGACGUGAAAUCCCCAGGCUUAACCUGGGAACUGCGUCGGAUACUGGAUGGCUUGAAUUCGGGAGAGGAAUGCAGAAUUCCAGGUGUAGCGGUGAAAUGCGUAGAUAUCUGGAGGAAUACCGGUGGCGAAGGCGGCAUUCUGGACCGACAUUGACACUAAAGCGCGAAAGCCAGGGGAGCAAACGGGAUUAGAAACCCCGGUAGUCC